UUUAUGUAUUGCUUGUUUGUUAUCUUGUGUUCUCCGCUUGUCUUGUUUCUGUAUCUUUGUGUUCCAUCUAGUUAUCAUGUGUUGUUUGCUGGUUUUGUAUCAAUAAGUCACCAAAUAGAUAUAAUAAAUCACUACGAGCUCUGCAAAUAUGAUGUAGUCACACACAAAACAUAGAUUUGUGUCUAUAGUGAUCUUAUAACUAUAUAGUUUUUGUAUUGUACCAGUCUCACUCUGCACCA
RNAcentral lists this long non-coding RNA (239 nucleotides) under Capsicum annuum. RNAcentral's name for it is "long non-coding RNA (CANN_LNC002779)". Lineage: Eukaryota; Viridiplantae; Streptophyta; Magnoliopsida; Solanales; Solanaceae. The record is from RNAcentral.